RNAcentral lists this long non-coding RNA (956 nucleotides) under Phasianus colchicus (ring-necked pheasant). Its description in RNAcentral is "lncRNA (ENSPCLG00000012429.1)". Lineage: Eukaryota; Metazoa; Chordata; Aves; Galliformes; Phasianidae. The record is from RNAcentral.
GUUCCCUCCUAAACCUCAGGGUUAAUUUUCCUGUCUGACCUGCUUUGGUUUCCCGAUGAAACUACUAAAAUAACACUUUGACAAUGGAAAUCUUCCCUGUGCAUGAAUUUAAAAAGAACAAAGCAUGAAUUAGCAUUUGUAUUACAGAGGUGCUCGAGAGAAUGGAGCCAAAGUCACAAGACAAAAGCUCUUUGUGUGGUUAGGUAGUCACCUUGCUGAUCCGUAAUGACACUCGUGAUGCUGACAAUAAAAACCCAACAAAAGGGGAAAGUGGCUCUAUGUUCAGUUUCUGACUUUGUACUCGAGAGACCUAAGUGUUUCACUCCAUCUCUUUACCCUUAGGCAAGGAACAACAGCCUUACAGCCCAGCCGGAUGGGAAAAGCCAAAUAGAUAAGGCCAUGAAGUCUCAUGAGUAGAUAAGUAUUGAUGCCCUUUGCAAAAAAUCACAUAGGUCUGAACCCUCAGAUGAAGCAUUUUGUAUGUUGUUUUUAAACACUGCUGGCAUCUCCAGAAAAGCUGUUCAACUAUGGCUGUGCUGUACUCUUUAACUGGAUGUCUGGCCCCCAUUUUGAGCCAGUCUGAGCAGGCAGAUAGGUUGUGAACGCUUCACUUUGGGAAGAAACUCUUGGUGGGAACACUGAAAUAGUCUGGCGAUCACUGAGGAUGAAUGUGGUGUGCAAACACCAUAGCUGCUGUGGCCAGCCUCUCUGGGAGAGUUAAGAGUAUGUUCCUGCUGUUCAAACUGCUAAACCAAGAAGCUGCAAAUGAGAUUACAUGCUGACCAGGUCAUGCUGGAACAAGUACAACAGGAGAACCAGUGCCUGAAUCAGCAAGUUGCCCAUCUGACAGCUGCAUUUAUGGCACUGCAGAAAAUGGGAGCAGCUUCCUGGUGAGCAUUUGUUAACAUUGAAGCAUGAGUGUUGGUGAAUAACUGCAAAGAGGACUUCUCAGAGUG